This 1343-nucleotide ribosomal RNA is filed under the name uncultured bacterium. RNAcentral describes it as "16S ribosomal RNA". It matches the Rfam family "Bacterial small subunit ribosomal RNA", at positions 28 to 1378 of the family's 1533-position model. The record is from RNAcentral.
GACGAACGCUGGCGGCGUGCUUAACACAUGCAAGUCGAACGGAAAGGCCCUGCUUUUGUGGGGUGCUCGAGUGGCGAACGGGUGAGUAACACGUGAGUAACCUGCCCUUGACUUUGGGAUAACUUCAGGAAACUGAGGCUAAUACCGGAUAGGAGCUCCUGCUGUAUGGUGGGGGUUGGAAAGUUUCGGCGGUUGGGGAUGGACUCGCGGCUUAUCAGCUUGUUGGUGGGGUAGUGGCUUACCAAGGCUUUGACGGGUAGCCGGCCUGAGAGGGUGACCGGCCACAUUGGGACUGAGAUACGGCCCAGACUCCUACGGGAGGCAGCAGUGGGGAAUAUUGCACAAUGGGCGGAAGCCUGAUGCAGCAACGCCGCGUGCGGGAUGACGGCCUUCGGGUUGUAAACCGCUUUCGCCUGUGACGAAGCGUGAGUGACGGUAAUGGGUAAAGAAGCACCGGCUAACUACGUGCCAGCAGCCGCGGUGAUACGUAGGGUGCGAGCGUUGUCCGGAUUUAUUGGGCGUAAAGGGCUCGUAGGUGGUUGAUCGCGUCGGAAGUGUAAUCUUGGGGCUUAACCCUGAGCGUGCUUUCGAUACGGGUUGACUUGAGGAAGGUAGGGGAGAAUGGAAUUCCUGGUGGAGCGGUGGAAUGCGCAGAUAUCAGGAGGAACACCAGUGGCGAAGGCGGUUCUCUGGGCCUUUCCUGACGCUGAGGAGCGAAAGCGUGGGGAGCGAACAGGCUUAGAUACCCUGGUAGUCCACGCUGUAAACGGUGGGUACUAGGUGUGGGGUCCAUUCCACGGGUUCCGUGCCGUAGCUAACGCUUUAAGUACCCCGCCUGGGGAGUACGGCCGCAAGGCUAAAACUCAAAGGAAUUGACGGGGCCCCGCACAAGCGGCGGAGCAUGCGGAUUAAUUCGAUGCAACGCGUAGAACCUUACCUGGGUUUGACAUGGAUCGGGAGCGCUCAGAGAUGGGUGUGCCUCUUUUGGGGUCGGUUCACAGGUGGUGCAUGGCUGUCGUCAGCUCGUGUCGUGAGAUGUUGGGUUAAGUCCCGCAACGAGCGCAACCCUUGUUCACUGUUGCCAGCACGUUAUGGUGGGGACUCAGUGGAGACCGCCGGGGUCAACUCGGAGGAAGGUGGGGAUGACGUCAAGUCAUCAUGCCCCUUAUGUCCAGGGCUUCACGCAUGCUACAAUGGCUGGUACAGAGAGUGGCGAGCCUGUGAGGGUGAGCGAAUCUCGGAAAGCCGGUCUCAGUUCGGAUUGGGGUCUGCAACUCGACCUCAUGAAGUCGGAGUCGCUAGUAAUCGCAGAUCAGCAACGCUGCGGUGAAUACGUUCCCGGG